GACGAACGCUGGCGGCGUGCCUAAUACAUGCAAGUAGAACGCUGAAGGAGGAGCUUACUUCUCUGGAUGAGUUGCGAACGGGUGAGUAACGCGUAGGUAACCUGCCUGGUAGCGGGGGAUAACUAUUGGAAACGAUAGCUAAUACCGCAUAAGAGUAGAUGUUGCAUGACAUUUACUUAAAAGGUGCAAUUGCACCACUACCAGAUGGACCUGCGUUGUAUUAGCUAGUUGGUGGGGUAACGGCUUACCAAGGCGACGAUACAUAGCCGACCUGAGAGGGUGGUCGGCCACACUGGGACUGGGACACGGCCCAGACUCCUACGGGAGGCAGCAGUAGGGAAUCUUCGGCAAUGGACGGAAGUCUGACCGAGCAACGCCGCGUGAGUGAAGAAGGUUUUCGGAUCGUAAAGCUCUGUUGUAAGAGAAGAACGAGUGUGAGAGUGGAAAGUUCACACUGUGACGGUAUCUUACCAGAAAGGGACGGCUAACUACGUGCCAGCAGCCGCAGUAA
This 511-nucleotide ribosomal RNA is filed under the name uncultured bacterium. Its description in RNAcentral is "partial 16S ribosomal RNA". It matches the Rfam family "Bacterial small subunit ribosomal RNA", at positions 28 to 523 of the family's 1533-position model. The record is from RNAcentral.